RNAcentral lists this ribosomal RNA (490 nucleotides) under uncultured bacterium. RNAcentral's name for it is "partial 16S ribosomal RNA". It matches the Rfam family "Bacterial small subunit ribosomal RNA", at positions 30 to 507 of the family's 1533-position model. The record is from RNAcentral.
AUUGAACGCUGGCGGCAGGCUUAACACAUGCAAGUCGAGCGGUAGCACAAGAGAGCUUGCUCUCUGGGUGACGAGCGGCGGACGGGUGAGUAAUGUCUGGGAAACUGCCUGAUGGAGGGGGAUAACUACUGGAAACGGUAGCUAAUACCGCAUAACGUCGCAAGACCAAAGAGGGGGACCUUCGGGCCUCUUGCCAUCAGAUGUGCCCAGAUGGGAUUAGCUAGUAGGUGGGGUAAUGGCUCACCUAGGCGACGAUCCCUAGCUGGUCUGAGAGGAUGACCAGCCACACUGGAACUGAGACACGGUCCAGACUCCUACGGGAGGCAGCAGUGGGGAAUAUUGCACAAUGGGCGCAAGCCUGAUGCAGCCAUGCCGCGUGUGUGAAGAAGGCCUUCAGGUUGUAAAGCACUUUCAGCGAGGAGGAAGGUGGUGAACUUAAUACGUUCAUCAAUUGACGUUACUCGCAGAAGAAGCACCGGCUAACUCCGUG